GCCGACCUAGCUCAGUGGUAGAGCACGUGGCUUUUGAGCGCGUGGCUUUUAACCACGUGGCCGUGGGUUCGAUCCCCACGGUCGGCG
RNAcentral lists this transfer RNA (87 nucleotides) under Triticum aestivum (bread wheat). It matches the Rfam family "tRNA". From Rfam's summary of the family: Transfer RNA (tRNA) molecules are approximately 80 nucleotides in length. Their secondary structure includes four short double-helical elements and three loops (D, anti-codon, and T loops). Lineage: Eukaryota; Viridiplantae; Streptophyta; Magnoliopsida; Poales; Poaceae. RNAcentral also lists the same sequence under 1 other name. The record is from Rfam by way of RNAcentral.